UUAGGAAUAUUGGGCAAUGGAGGAAACUCUGACCCAGCAACGCCGCGUGAAGGAAGAAGGUUUUCGGAUUGUAAACUUCUGAUCUGUGGGAAAAAGAAAGUGAUGGUACCACAGGAGCAAGACACGGCCAACUACGUGCCAGCAGCCGCGGUAAUGCGUAGGUGUCAAGCGUUGUCCGGAAUAACUGGGCGUAAAGGGUGCGUAGGUGGCUAGUUAAGUUAAAUGUGAAAGCCCGGGGCUCAACUCCGGAAUUGCAUUUAAUACUGGUUAGCUAGAGUUCAGGAGGGGUAAGCGGAAUUCCUAGUGUAGCGGUUAAAUGCGUAGAUAUUAGGAGGAACACCAGAGGCGAAGGCGGCUUACUGGACUGACACUGACACUGAGGCACGAAAGCGUGGGGAGCAAACA
This 405-nucleotide ribosomal RNA is filed under the name uncultured bacterium. Its description in RNAcentral is "bacterial SSU rRNA". It matches the Rfam family "Bacterial small subunit ribosomal RNA", at positions 355 to 774 of the family's 1533-position model. The record is from RNAcentral.